This 415-nucleotide ribosomal RNA is filed under the name uncultured crenarchaeote. RNAcentral describes it as "partial 16S ribosomal RNA". It matches the Rfam family "Archaeal small subunit ribosomal RNA", at positions 330 to 747 of the family's 1478-position model. The record is from RNAcentral. Lineage: Archaea; Thermoproteati; Thermoproteota.
GUGCAGCAGUCGCGAAAACUCCGCAGUACGCGAAAGCGUGACGGGGCUACCCCGAGUGUCGUCCGCUGAGGACGACUUUUCCACGCUGUAAGGAGGCGUGGGAAUAAGGAGAGGGCAAGUCUGGUGUCAGCCGCCGCGGUAAUACCAGCUCUCCGAGUGGUGGGGAUGUUUAUUGGGCCUGAAGCAUCCGUAGCUGGCUGAGCAAGUUCUCCGUUAAAUCCAGCGAUUUAAUCGUUGGACUGCGGAGGAUACUGUUCGGCUAGGGGGCGGGAGAGGCCGACGGUAUUCUCGGGGUAGGGGUGAAAUCCUAUAAUCCCGGGAAGACCACCAGUGGCGAAGGCUGUCGGCUAGAACGCGCCCGACGGUGAGGGAUGAAAGCUGGGGGAGCGAACCGGAUUAGAUACCCGGGUAGUCC